GGGAAUCUUGCGCAAUGGGCGAAAGCCUGACGCAGCAACGCCGCGUGGGGGAUGAAGGCCUUCGGGUUGUAAACCCCUUUCAGGAGGGAAGAAAUUGACGGUACCUCCAGAAGAAGGACCGGCCAACUACGUGCCAGCAGCCGCGGUAAUACGUAGGGUCCAAGCGUUAUCCGGAAUCAUUGGGCGUAAAGAGCUCGUAGGCGGUUCAACAAGUCGGCUGUGAAAGUCCGAGGCUUAACCUCGGAAUUGCAGUCGAAACUGUUGUGACUCGAGUCCGGUAGAGGAGAAUGGAAUUCCCGGUGUAGCGGUGAAAUGCGCAGAUAUCGGGAGGAACACCAGUAGCGAAGGCGGUUCUCUGGGCCGGCACUGACGCUGAGGAGCGAAAGCGUGGGGAGCAAA
This 399-nucleotide ribosomal RNA is filed under the name uncultured bacterium. RNAcentral describes it as "bacterial SSU rRNA". It matches the Rfam family "Bacterial small subunit ribosomal RNA", at positions 357 to 772 of the family's 1533-position model. The record is from RNAcentral.